Non-coding RNA from Turdus rufiventris (rufous-bellied thrush), 92 nucleotides. The record is from the annotation of a GenBank genome assembly. NCBI's taxonomy places the organism in Eukaryota, Metazoa, Chordata, Aves, Passeriformes, Turdidae.
CUGUGGCUCAGGACUGUUGGUGGCUCGGGGUGGCUCAGGACCACCCGCAGCUUGGGGUGGCUCAGGGUGGCUCGGGGCCACCUGCUACUGUC